This 87-nucleotide transfer RNA is filed under the name Hyphomicrobiales bacterium. RNAcentral's name for it is "tRNA-Leu". It matches the Rfam family "tRNA". From Rfam's summary of the family: Transfer RNA (tRNA) molecules are approximately 80 nucleotides in length. Lineage: Bacteria; Pseudomonadati; Pseudomonadota; Alphaproteobacteria; Hyphomicrobiales. The record is from RNAcentral.
GCGGACGUGGUGAAACUGGUAGACACACAGGACUUAAAAUCCUGUGGGGGUAACCCCGUGCGGGUUCGAGUCCCGCCGUCCGCACCA